GAUGAACGCUAGCGAUAGGCUUAACACAUGCAAGUCGAGGGGCAGCAUGGUCUUAGCUUGCUAAGACUGAUGGCGACCGGCGCACGGGUGCGUAACGCGUAUGCAACUUGCCUCACAGAGGGGGAUAACCCGUCGAAAGACGGACUAAUACCGCGUACACUCCAUCUUGGGCAUCCAAGGUAGAGGAAAUGAAAUUCGCUGUGAGAUAGGCAUGCGUCCCAUUAGCUAGUUGGUGAGGUAACGGCUCACCAAGGCGACGAUGGGUAGGGGAACUGAGAGGUUGAACCCCCACACUGGUACUGAGACACGGACCAGACUCCUACGGGAGGCAGCAGUGAGGAAUAUUGGUCAAUGGGCGAGAGCCUGAACCAGCCAAGUCGCGUGAAGGAUGACCGUCUUAUGGAUUGUAAACUUCUUUUAUACGGGAAUAACAAGAGUCACGUGUGACUCCCUGCAUGUACCGUAUGAAUAAGCAUCGGCUAACUCCGUG
RNAcentral lists this ribosomal RNA (490 nucleotides) under uncultured bacterium. RNAcentral's name for it is "partial 16S ribosomal RNA". It matches the Rfam family "Bacterial small subunit ribosomal RNA", at positions 28 to 507 of the family's 1533-position model. The record is from RNAcentral.